RNAcentral lists this ribosomal RNA (1290 nucleotides) under uncultured prokaryote. RNAcentral's name for it is "partial 16S ribosomal RNA". It matches the Rfam family "Bacterial small subunit ribosomal RNA", at positions 10 to 1293 of the family's 1533-position model. The record is from RNAcentral.
AGUUUGAUCAUGGCUCAGAUUGAACGCUGGCGGUAUGCUUAACACAUGCAAGUCGAACGGUAACAUAGAAGCUUGCUUCUGAUGACGAGUGGCGGACGGGUGAGUAAUGCGUAGGAAUCUGCCUAGUAGUGGGGGACAACUUGGGGAACCUCAAGCUAAUACCGCAUACGCCCUACGGGGGAAAGCGGGGGAUCUUCGCGGACCUUCCGCUAUUAGAUGAGCCUGCGUCGGAUUAGCUAGUUGGUGAGGUAAAGGCUCACCAAGGCGACGAUCCGUAGCUGUUCUGAGAGGAUGAUCAGCCACACUGGGACUGAGACACGGCCCAGACUCCUACGGGAGGCAGCAGUGGGGAAUAUUGCACAAUGGGCGAAAGCCUGAUGCAGCCAUACCGCGUGUGUGAAGAAGGCCUUAGGGUUGUAAAGCACUUUCAGUGGGGAGGAAAGGUUAGUCGUUAAUAUCGGCUAGCUGUGACGUUACCCACAGAAGAAGGACCGGCUAACUCCGUGCCAGCAGCCGCGGUAAUACGGAGGGUCCAAGCGUUAAUCGGAAUUACUGGGCGUAAAGCGUGCGUAGGCGGUUUGUUAAGUGGAAUGUGAAAGCCCCGGGCUCAACCUGGGAACUGCAUCCCAAACUGGCAAACUAGAGUGCGGAAGAGGAGUGUGGAAUUUCCUGUGUAGCGGUGAAAUGCGUAGAUAUAGGAAGGAACACCAGUGGCGAAGGCGACACUCUGGUCUGACACUGACGCUGAGGUACGAAAGCGUGGGGAGCAAACAGGAUUAGAUACCCUGGUUCCACGCCGUAAACGAUGUCUACUAGCCGUUGGGAGACUUGAUCUCUUAGUGGCGCAGCUAACGCGAUAAGUAGACCGCCUGGGGAGUACGGUCGCAAGAUUAAAACUCAAAUGAAUUGACGGGGGCCCGCACAAGCGGUGGAGCAUGUGGUUUAAUUCGAAACAACGCGAAGAACCUUACCCGCUCUUGACAUCCACAGAAGACAAAAGAGAUUUUGUUGUGCCUUCGGGAACUGUGAGACAGGUGCUGCAUGGCUGUCGUCAGCUCGUGUUGUGAAAUGUUGGGUUAAGUCCCGUAACGAGCGCAACCCUUGUCCUUAUUUGCCAGCACGUAAUGGUGGGAACUCUAAGGAGACUGCCGGUGGCAAACCGGAGGAAGGUGGGGACGACGUCAAGUCAUCAUGGCCCUUACGAGCGAGGCUCCACACGUGCUACGAUGGCCAGGACAAACGGUUGCAACCCCGCGAGGGUGAGCUAAUCUGAGAAACCUGGUCGUAGUC